UAAGACAAUUGGACGAAAUUGGUGGCUUCGGUGUCCUCGCCACAACGCACUCACCCUUCCUUGGGUGCCCCAAGAAUAAUAUUGGAGGCACACCCCAUCUCCGGCAGACCGGAGUCUAUUCCUGGUGGAUUAGGAUCUGCUCAUCUCCCCGCCCAAAGUAACUCACACAACCAUCUCGGUAGCUUUUUUUACAUCAACACUGAAGGCCGAACUCAGACCGUCGCCUAGAUGAGAAGUGGUCAUAGCGAUAAUGGAAGGGAAAUUUUUUGACGCUUAAAAUUACACGGAUGUGAAUUACACGGCACCAAAUUGGAGGCGUUUGCCAACCGGGUCACCUAAUACUGAGGAGCUCCAAGGGAAAAGAAGGGACGUGCUAAAAGGUUGGACGCGCGGCUGGGGUGCGGAAUUAAUGCCUCUAAUUCCAGAUUAGAUUUCACAUUCAACGUUGCUCAUUGUCGAAGCUGCGACCAGAAGAAGAGACCGCUUGCGGCGAAACCCGAGUCUGCACGGAGCCAAAUGGUCCGGAGGAUUCACACAGCGUCUGCGUUAGAGGGCCUGGAGGCAGUGCGUCAGUGGUCCCAGAGAUGACCAGGUGGUCAGCGCGGGUGUUCGUUCCCGGAACGGACUCACCGAGGGAAUCUCCGUAUGUGGCUGACGCGGAAGGCUGUUGAUGCUGCUGAUCUCUGAUGCUGCUGCGCGGAUCACUGCUGCUAAUG
Molecule: long non-coding RNA, 716 nt
Organism: Drosophila gunungcola (fruit fly)
Lineage: Eukaryota; Metazoa; Arthropoda; Insecta; Diptera; Drosophilidae
Exons: 4
Source: RefSeq, a predicted model, not a curated record